Molecule: ribosomal RNA, 253 nt
Filed under: uncultured bacterium
Lineage: Bacteria
Description: partial 16S ribosomal RNA
Rfam family: Bacterial small subunit ribosomal RNA
Source: RNAcentral
GACGAACGCUGGCGGCAUGCUUAACACAUGCAAGUCGAGCGGUAAGGCCCUUUCGGGGUACGACGAGCGGCGAACGGGUAGGAGUAACACGUGGGUGGACCUCGCCCUCCAGCUCUGGGAGUAAGACCCGGGAACCGUAGGGUCGUAAUACCGGAGUAUGACUCCAUGACGCAUGUUGUGGGGUGGAAAGACCUUGUUGCGGCGUGAGGAGUGGGCCCGGCCGGCCUACUCAGCUUGUUGGUGGGGUGGAUGG